Molecule: ribosomal RNA, 459 nt
Filed under: uncultured bacterium
Lineage: Bacteria
Description: partial 16S ribosomal RNA
Rfam family: Bacterial small subunit ribosomal RNA
Source: RNAcentral
CCUACGGGGGGCAGCAGUGAGGAAUAUUGGUCAAUGGUCGGGAGACUGAACCAGCCAAGCCGCGUGAGGGAUGAAGGUACAGAGUAUCGUAAACCUCUUUUGUCAGGAAACAAAGGCGGGGACGUGUCCCCGGAUGAGUGUACCUGAAGAAAAAGCAUCGGCUAACUCCGUGCCAGCAGCCGCGGUAAUACGGAGGAUGCGAGCGUUCUCCGGAUUUAUUGGGUUUAAAGGGUGCGCGGGCGGUCUGUUAAGUCAGCGGUAAAAGCCCGGGGCUCAACCCCGGCCCGCCGUUGAAACUGGCAGUCUCGAGUUGGAGAGAAGUAUGCGGAAUGCGCGGUGUAGCGGUGAAAUGCAUAGAUAUCGCGCAGAACUCCGAUUGCGAAGGCAGCAUGCCGGCUCCACACUGACGCUGAGGCACGAAAGCGUGGGUAUCGAACAGGAUUAGAUACCCUUGUAGUC